CCAGCCCUUGACAUCCCGAUCGCGAGAACCAGAGAUGGAUCUCUUCAGUUAGGCUGGAUCGGAGACAGGUGCUGCAUGGCUGUCGUCAGCUCGUGUCGUGAGAUGUUGGGUUAAGUCCCGCAACGAGCGCAACCCUCGCCCUUAGUUGCCAGCAUUUAGUUGGGCACUCUAGGGGGACUGCCGGUGAUAAGCCGGAGGAAGGUGGGGAUGACGUCAAGUCCUCAUGGCCCUUACGGGCUGGGCUACACACGUGCUACAAUGGCGGUGACAAUGAGC
Molecule: ribosomal RNA, 276 nt
Filed under: uncultured Alphaproteobacteria bacterium
Lineage: Bacteria; Pseudomonadati; Pseudomonadota; Alphaproteobacteria
Description: partial 16S ribosomal RNA
Rfam family: Bacterial small subunit ribosomal RNA
Source: RNAcentral